Molecule: ribosomal RNA, 254 nt
Filed under: uncultured bacterium
Lineage: Bacteria
Description: partial 16S ribosomal RNA
Rfam family: Bacterial small subunit ribosomal RNA
Source: RNAcentral
UACGUAGGGUGCGAGCGUUGUCCGGAAUUAUUGGGCGUAAAGAGCUCGUAGGCGGUGUGUCACGUCGGCCGUGAAAACCUGCAGCUUAACUGUGGGCGUGCGGUCGAUACGGGCAUCACUGGAGUUCGGCAGGGGAGACUGGAAUUCCUGGUGUAGCGGUGAAAUGCGCAGAUAUCAGGAGGAACACCGGUGGCGAAGGCGGGUCUCUGGGCCGAUACUGACGCUGAGGAGCGAAAGCGUGGAGAGCAAACAGG